CCUACGGGAGGCAGCAGUGAGGAAUAUUGGUCAAUGGGCUUACGCCUGAACCAGCCAAGUCGCGUGAGGGAAGACUGCCCUAUGGGUUGUAAACCUCUUUUGUCAGGGAGCAACGCCGGCUACGUGUAGCCGGACUGAGAGUACCUGAAGAAAAAGCAUCGGCUAACUCCGUGCCAGCAGACGCGGUAAUACGGAGGAGGCGAGGGUUAUCCGGAUUUAUGGGGUUUAAAGGGUGCGUAGGCGGAAUGCCAAGUCAGCGGUAAAAUCGCGGGCCUCAACCUCGGUCCGCCGUUGAAACUGGCGUUCUGGAGUGGGCGAGAAGUAUGCGGAAUGCGUGGUGUAGCGGUGAAAUGCGUAGAUAUCACGAAGAACUCCGGUGGCGAAGGCAGCAUACCGGAGCGCAACUGACGCUGAGGCACGAAAGCGUGGGGAUCGAACAGGAUGAGAUACCCGAGUAGUC
Molecule: ribosomal RNA, 460 nt
Filed under: uncultured bacterium
Lineage: Bacteria
Description: partial 16S ribosomal RNA
Rfam family: Bacterial small subunit ribosomal RNA
Source: RNAcentral